RNAcentral lists this ribosomal RNA (393 nucleotides) under Sarcocystis sp. 6D-Fu792. RNAcentral describes it as "bacterial SSU rRNA". It matches the Rfam family "Eukaryotic small subunit ribosomal RNA", at positions 359 to 753 of the family's 1831-position model. The record is from RNAcentral. Lineage: Eukaryota; Apicomplexa; Conoidasida; Eucoccidiorida; Sarcocystidae.
AUCUGCAGAAUUCGGCUUCGAUUCCGGAGAGGGAGCCUGAGAAACGGCUACCACAUCUAAGGAAGGCAGCAGGCGCGCAAAUUACCCAAUCCUGACUCAGGGAGGUAGUGACAAGAAAUAACAACACUGGAAAUUUUAUUUCUAGUGAUUGGAAUGAUGGGAAUUUAAACCCCUUUCAGAGUAACAAUUGGAGGGCAAGUCUGGUGCCAGCAGCCGCGGUAAUUCCAGCUCCAAUAGCGUAUAUUAAAGUUGUUGCAGUUAAAAAGCUCGUAGUUGGAUGUCUGCUGGAAGCAAUCAGUCCGCCCUAUUUGUAGGGUGUGCACUUGAUGAAUUCUGGCAUCUAUGUCCCAAUGAUGUAUUAUUGUAUGAUGGCGUACGUAUAUAGGUUAAUCC